GACCAAUAAACCCGAACGGAGGUAGUACGAAAGUCUCGUCUUCUAUCUAUAGAUACUCCAUAUAAAUCAGUCACAACUGGCUGACCAUUGGUCAACGUGCUACCCAUCCCAUGUGUACAAAGCAUAUCCCUUCCUCAUUCCUCUGCUCCACCAUCUUUGAGAAGGGAAAAAUAGAUGGAGAGGCUGUACCAAAUUGAUUGGCCUGCUCGUCCAUGUGAUGGGGAGUGCCGGAGUGGCUGCACCAAAUCGAGUGGCCUGCCCGUGCAUCAACAAAGCUGGGAAGGAGAUUAUCUUGGAGGCCAGAUCUGAGCGAGGUCGGGGCACGCGUUCCAGCCGCGGAUUUGGCGCUCCCUAGCAGCGAGGCAAGGCGGUCGCCGGGGAGGCCACUGAAGAAUAUGAGUGAUCCGUAGUUGGUAACUUCCCUAAUGGCGCUGCUAUCCUGUUCGUGUCACUGGGCCAAGGAUUGUGGUGUCGGGUUUGACGGCCAUGUUCUUCAUAGUGUUCCUCAUCUUAUGUGGCAGAGUAGUGAUGGGUAUGACUGUCUUACUACUCUCCCAUCCUCCUCAUCAUUAUCUUGUUGGGCUCAGUGUACACGUACUUUAAAAUUUCAUUUACUUAGUUGAUCUGUUAAAUUUAUUCAGAGGUAAGGUUGAGUUACCUAGUUCUGGUAAAUUAUAAUACAGACGAUGAACUCAUAUAUUUUGUUGUUGUUCAUGUAAGGAUCAUUUAGGAUAUGAAUUAUAGAGUUAUUUAACUUUUCAUUGGUGUGCCUUGCAUUAUUUUAAUGAAUUGAACUUAUAUUACUUUUUCUGUUGACAUUCUGCCAACUUUGAUUAUUGUCUCUUCAACUCAUCCGUAUCAAUUAUACGAAGUUUCGUCUAGCAAAAGUUAUAUCCAUCUACUACGUAUAACACUUAUAUAUCUUUUAUUUCAUUGUCUUGUCUGCACUUCUUAACAUGUAUAUACAUGAAAGUAGUGUGAGGAAAUAUUAAUCUGCAUUAGCAUGUGAUUGGUCUCUUCACAUUUGUAGCAUGUGAUCGGUCUCUUUACAUUCGUAGAAAGUCCACAGGUGGAGGCGAGUCAUGGGCUCCCUAGUUGCUACUGCUGUCAAGUUCCACCUAUGUGAUUCGAAAAAAACUUCCACCAAUGUAAUGUGCUACUACUUUGCAUCUUUCCUACUUCCUCCACACUGUUCUUCACAGGUAUGCUUCCCGCCUCUAGUUGGAUAAAAGGUAUAUUCUCUAUUUGUUGUACCAUAUAAUAGCAAGUUAUAUCAAUGAUAUGUGUAGUUAAGACAAACGAAGAAGGUUCACAUGUAUUAACUGAAGUUGGUUCAUGUGUGUUAAUUGAUAUGCAAUAGAUUUUUCGCAUGUGUUGUAGGCGAUGCCUAUAACACUGGAGCUUUUCUCAUUAUUCUCUUCAACUGAAACAGCUGUAGGAUGGAAGAGAUGUUACCAAGAACACAACUCACAAAAGUGCAUGUCUGAAUGUAUUUCAACCUUAUAUACUAAGUGUCCUCCCUAUAUUGAUCAUGUGAUGUAUUCUUUCUCUAUCCCGGUAAACAUAAAUUAGUUGCCUUUCAAUAUUGUAAAAUAUUUGAUGCUUCUCAUAUUUUUCGUCCAAUGAGUUCAGCAAUUUUGCUACCACUGUUAUUGGUGCAGAGUAAAUAUAAUAUGAAAGUUCUUGUUGAAAUUAGUAGAAUAUGCUUUCGAGGUGUUAUAAUUUCUAGAUAUAUACCACAAUUGUCACAGUAAUACUUGUCAGUUCCUUUGUAGUUAGUUUGUGACUAUCACAACAUGUUCAUGUACAUAUUUUUUUUGUAACAGAUCUAUUACAGCUUGUCGUGAAAAGUAAAAUCCUAAAAAAGUCACCGGAAAACUUUAAAGAUAGCAACCCAAAGAAGUUGGGAGACAUAAAUAAUUCAGAUAUGGUACCAUUAUAACUGAUAUGACUCAAUUAUCAGUACAUGUGAGUCUCAUUUUCCUCCAAAAGUGGUGAUAUCAUAUCUUAGAGGAGUCUGAAUCAUUACCUGACUUGUGGUUUUCGUGCCUCAUUGCACUAAGUUCUUGUAAUGUUCUCCUAUGUAAAAUAUUUCUAGCGCUCCUUGUGUGUUGCUAUCUAUCUCCAUCAUUUUUGGCGAACUUUCUUCUACCGAGUGCCUACAUUUGUGGAGUUAGUCAAGUAAAAUUAUUACUUUACAAUGAUGAAUAAACAUGAGUCACGAUUCAUUUGUUGAUAAAUAAUUAAAGAUAGUGUUCCAUAUGUAAGGAAGUUCUCGAGUUUCAUCUAUGUCUAGAUCUGUAUAUAUUCCUGUGAGGCUGGUUUACUUUAGGUACAACCCUAUUAAAUAAAUGACAAAUCUUUUAGAUUUCUUGCAACCAUAGUCUAGCGCCGGUGUUAUCACCCGUAAAGAGGUUAAGCUGAAAAAUGCAAAUCUUAGCCAGAGUGGUGGAAGUCCAAUUAAAGUUUCAAUAAUGAGUAUGCAUCAUGCUUUCUCUGUUAUUAGAAUCAGUCGUUUUUCAUGGUUAGAAAUAUUAAUUAGAUUAUUUAAAACUACAGAGUAUAAGCAUACCUGAGCAUUAUUUAACUUUAUCUGCUGGUUUUGUAUUGUGUCCUUGGUGGAAAACUCGGAGUAGUAAUCUGGAAAACAUUCUGAUGGUCGUUUCACCCCCUUUACCUUUGUAUUGUACGCCGAAAAAAAAUCAUUUCAUUUCUCAAUGGGUGAUAUUUUGUGGAUUCCACAACCUUAAAAGUUGAUAGUGUAUAAGUGGAUACUUCUGAUAGUAGCAUGAUGUUUUUAAUAUUGAUAGUAAGAUGAUUUGUUUGGCCAUGUCAAACCAUACAGAAUAUAAUUAGCAAUUUUUGUUUAAAUUGGUGGGGCAGUCUGUAAUAGAAUGUUUAAUGAGCAAACAAUUUUGUCCAUCAAAAUCAUAUCGAGGCUCAUGAACUGAUCGGUUGCAUGAUUGAGCGAAUUGCAUAUGAUCGGUACUUUCACUUGAAUGUUCUAGUUUGUCCUGUUGUUGAUAAGCACUAAGCUUCUUGCACGCCAUAGUUUUUUGGCUGCAAAAGGAUUCGAAAAUUGUUAGUCACUACCUAUGCAGUUGUUAUCCUGAUAAGUGAUGAGCCUUGAUAAUUCAGGUGAGAGGCAGCUCAGAAGGUCUAUGUUGACUUCAUUGGGCGUCGAGUUGCAGUCACAUCACAGUUUUGGCGGUUUCAGAUGUUUGUCUGGCGUCACAGAACCCGUAGUCUUCGAUUUUGUUAGUGGUGCUCUGGUCUGGUAGCAGAUUUGGUAGCCUUCAUGAAUCGGAAGACCUUGAUUUUGCUGAUGGUUCUCUGGUCGGGUAGUAGAUUUGCUAGUUUGUCCAGUUAAGACUCUUGGGCGUGUGCUUGGUGUGUCUGGUUGGGUGUUGUUCUAUUUUCUUUCCGCACUGACUCCAUGUGGAGUUUUUUUCUCCCUUUCGAUCAAGAAUCCAUGUAGAGUUUCGUUGAUUGAGUCCGUCCCUGGGUUGUAGUUUUUUGUGCAUGUGCCCGAUUUGGAAGUAGGUGCACGUGAGGAUUCAUAUCUUGUUUUGUCUCUUGGAAGGAUGUGCACGUGAGGAUUCGUAUCUUCUUUUGUCUCGUGAUAAUGGUUGUACGUGUCAUAUGUGUCAUGUACAUAUGUGUCCUGUACUGUACGGAGGACGGGGCAUGUACUCGGUCAUUUUUUUCCUAUUUAUGUAAGCUUACACGUGAUUGUUAUAAACAGAUCUUUAUAUAAAAAAAGAUGUCUUAGACUAUUUAGACAUGACAUGUUAAGUUAGUUGUACGGGACAAUAUUUGUAUGUUACGCUGCAACUUUUAAAUCUCAGCCGUCAAUAUCUAAAAUUAACGACCGUGAUAAUUUAAUCUAUGUGGAUCAACGUGAUGGCUUGUUUGACUUCUGUCAUAAGUAUAUAAUAGAUGUUCUUAUUGCUGAUGGUACUCCUCUUCCUGUUGCUAGUCGAGGCAUUCUUUACACUUCUUCAUUUCAUGUUUCAGAUUUUUCUCAUGUUCCUUGCCUUACCAUGAACUUAUUUUCUACAAGUUAGCUUACUGAUUCAGGUUGUCGUGUGAUACGCCCAUUUUUCAUCAUGCUUUUAUAUCAAUAUUUAUUGCAUUAUGGGCUAUUAUUACACAUUAUAUCAUAAUACUUAUGUCUUUUCUGUCUUAUUUUAUAAGAUUUACACGAAGAGGGAGAAUGCUGACAGCUGGAAUUCUGCACUGGAAAAGGAGCAAACAUUAGAGACCUAUUCUGCACAAUUCCAAAAGUCCUGAAACUCCAUGAAAGUCAGUUUCAGAAUAUAUUAAAAAUAUUGGAUGAAGAAAGCACCAGAGGGGGGCCACCCCACCAGCCACGAGGGUGGAGGGCGCGCCCUACCCCCCUGGGUGCGCCCCCUGCCUCGUGGGCCACCUGGCAGGCCCCCGAUGCCCAUCUUCUGCUAUAUGGUGUCUUUUGCCCUGGAAAAAAUCAUAAGAAAGCUUUCGGGAUGAAGCGUCGCCAUCUCGAGGCGGAACCUGGGCAGAACCAAUCUAGGGCUCUGAUGGAGUUGUUCUGCCGGGGAAACAUCCCUUUGGGAGGGGGAAAUCGUUGCCAUCAUCAUCACCAUCGAUCCUCUCAUCGAGAGGGGGUCAAUCUCCAUCAACAUCUUCAACAACACCAUCUCCUCUCAAACCCUAGUUCAUCUCUUGUAUCUGAUCUUUGUCUCAAAACCUUAGAUUGGUACCCGUGGGUUGCUAGUAGUGUUGAUUACUCCCUGUAGUUGAUGCUAGUUGGUUUAUUAGGUGGAAGAUCAUAUGUUCAGAUUCUUAAUGCAUAUUAAUGCCCCUCUGAUUAUGAACAUGAAUAUGCUUUGUGAG
Molecule: ribosomal RNA, 4875 nt
Filed under: Triticum aestivum (bread wheat)
Lineage: Eukaryota; Viridiplantae; Streptophyta; Magnoliopsida; Poales; Poaceae
Description: partial small subunit ribosomal RNA
Source: RNAcentral